Molecule: non-coding RNA, 496 nt
Organism: Thamnophis sirtalis
Lineage: Eukaryota; Metazoa; Chordata; Lepidosauria; Squamata; Natricidae
Source: RefSeq, a predicted model, not a curated record
CCCUCUUUUUCUUUCCCAGCACGCAGCCCUCUCUGAGUAUCGGCCCAUUCUGUCCAGGAACCCGUCUUCCCAACCGAGAGCCGCCUCCGUAGCGGACAGGAAGCUGACCUUAAUCCCGAUUAUUUUCAUCUUCCUGCGUAUCUGGAGUACCGUUCGUUUUGUCCUGACCCUUUCUGGCUCCCCUGCAGACCGAAACUGGCUCCUGGUCAUACUUCACGGAGUUGGGAACACGUUUCAAGGAGCCGCAAACUGCAUCCUUUUCGUCUUUUGCACACGAGUCGUCCGGAAUAAGCUGUUUUCUUCCUUGUGCUGCUGGAGACACUUGGAGGCUCCCCCGCCGAGUUUGGAGACCAGCUUCCAGGCUGAGCCCCCGCUUCGCAAAGACUGGGAGCUGCUGCAAGGCAGCGAUAGCACAGGGGAAGACUCACCCAUCCCCUGAACGUUGGCCUGCAUCGUGAUGGAAAUCACCUUUUUUGCCUGGUGGGGUUUUCACUGU